CGGAGCUCCGCGCCUCGACCCCCAGAUCGCCCCUCGACUUUCGGUCCCUAGGUCGCUCGGUGUCCCGCACCCCACGACCUCGCGCGCUCCCAAGUCCCUGUGCCCGCUCUUCUAACCCCACAACCCCGUCGCAGUCCUCCGCCCUUUCUCGCUCUCCAUCUGUCAGUAGGUCUGUCUGUCUGCCUCCCCACCCUCCUUUUCCUUCCUCUCACCCGCUCUGCCGGCUUGUUCGCUAGCUCGACUUGGCAGAGCAACUUCGCAGGAAAAUCCCAGAAACCUUUGCAGAAAGCUUACAAUGAAAUUUAAGAAGUUCUACGAUUUCGGCGCCAUUUUCGAGUGGAGUGAGAGGUUGUUUAGCUUUUCCAGUAUGAAACUCGACAUUGGAAAAGUUUGGCUCGAAGGUGCGGAGGACGUGUACAUCGUGCGUUUUGGGUGUGGGGGCGCACACAUCUGCGACAUUGAAAGACAAAACGUUCUCAACUGGGAAGAGAGGAAGAGGCGUAUUCUUUGGCUCUUAAAUCAUUUGGCCAAACACAUCGCAGUUCUGAAGGGGGUGGGGCCAUGGCAACUCUAAAGUAUUGAUUCUUUGUCUAUUGUAUCAGCGAAUGACCCUCUCCAGAAGUGACCAGACGCUUCUUUGUGUUCUUCUUUAGGCGACCACCGAUGGUUUUUUUCCUCCAUUCCGUGUCCAUGAGAAAAUGAUUUGUAAUAUAGCCAAGACAAGCUGGGAUUUAGAAACUCGUUCCAACUUAAGGAGUGGGGCUAUUAUUAUUAAUGACUUUAUUUAUCAUGACCUUAUGGCUUUAUUAUCAGUGCAUUUGUUAGCGCUGGAUCACAAUCUGUUGUGUUAGGAAUUUUGUACUUAGUUUAAUUACAUACUCUGUAUAUUUAAUUAAUUAGUUAAUUAAUUAGUAGGACCCAGCAUUCAUUGUAGUAGUUUUGAAAAUCUGACAUAAUUUUAAAUGAAAAUAAGGAAAUUUGGCGACAUUAAAUCUUUGUUUAUGUAUACAGAAUGUACUUUUACUUUCAAAGGCACUAUAGUUUUAUUGUUUUAAUUAUUAGGUUUGUGGUUAAGUAGUGAAGGAUUUUUUUGGUUUGUGCUUUCUUGAAUGUUUUGUUUAAGCAAAAGGAAAUGAAUGAAUGUAAUUUAUUGCUCCGGUGUCCAUUUUGAAAAUCAAGAGGGGGGGGGCCUGAACAGUGCCGGCCAUUUCAAGAAAUGAGUUUCUGUGGAGUUGCUUGAGAAGGAGCCAUUUUAACAUCAAGUACUUAAAGUUGUUGAUUUGUGAUUUGAUAAGUGACAUUGAUAAAUGUCAAUUAUUUAUAAAGUAGUUUGAGUAACCAGCAAUGUAUGAAGACAUCUAGGGGUUUCAAUCUAGAACAUUCUCAUGCUUUGUCCUUAUAACUAAUGGCAGACAAGGUGUUUACUGUUAGAAUGGAGGAAACUACUAGCCAUAAGUUAAAAGCAACUGGUCACCCAGAGGGUUUUUUUAAAUCAAAAGUUCCUUACAUUGAUUCCAAUAAAUGACCCCAAACUGGGGACAAUAAAUGACACUUAUACAAUGCAGCAGGAAGUUUCACCGAGACUUUGGAGCUGGCAAGAGUGAUCCAGAUGUUACCAAAUUGUCUCAAUUUAAUUAAUCUCACUUUUCAUCUACUUUCUGAGGUACCCUGAGCGACCCCCACCUUUGCUUACUCCGAAGGGAUGCAGCAGCAAUUCAUGUUUUGGAGUAUUGUAAAGGUUCAAAACAUGAAGCGCUGCAACACCCCUUCGCGGGGAACUUAGAAGGUGGGGGCCUGCAGAACAGACCCGUGUGGGUUCUCCUAAAAAAGCCCCAAAGCAGGUAGGUGGGCGGGCAGGGGCUUGUCUGUCUCUUCAUUCAGGACAGGGCCUUAGUCUAGUAAGGGCCACUCUACACUGUUCAAGGGCCUGGGAGGGGGUGACUGCUAAGCAAGAUGGCCAUGCACUUGGAGGAGGGACAAGGUAGCCUGCGCUCAGCCCACCACACUCAGUCGUGCCCUAGCAGCGUCCAAAACAGUACUGCAGUAUUUGGUAAGCUGGAGUAUUGUUUCCGCUGCUCGGGUAAGUCUGGGACUAACACAUGGGCACACCCACCAGGUAAGUUUCAGUCCAUCGCCUGCAGCGUAGGCCCCAAGGGGAGCAAGACUCCAGAACAGCUCCAGACUAGAGCUUUUGUGUUUGUCUUCCGUGAAACAUUUGCCCAUCUGUGAAUAUGUGACUGGGUGUGACAGAAACUUUGUUGUUAGCACCUCAUUCCCUGCCCAGGUAAAACUGAACCGACUGGAAAGAAAGCACUUCCCGAUCACCUAGUAGAAUACCACCCGCAGGACAGCAAUGAAUAAAGUUUGUCUUCAGUCCUCAACAACAAGAUGGGAGGGGGUUCCCGCAAAGGAAUAUGAAGGGGUCCGAAAGUGGUCAGAAGGGUGACUUGAAGCAAUCCCCAUUUCUCUCUGCAGUUCCUACUGAAGGAGCUUAGGUACUGUAUAAAAAAGGACUUUAGGGGUCAGGAAAGAUUAAGGGUCCCACAGCUGUGCUAGUGGGGGUGUCCCUGGAUCUCAGGCAUCCAAAAGAAGCACCUAGCCUUGGUGGUGGUGAACCCCAGAUGACACAGUGAGGAGCCCUAACAGAGUGACGUGCUACAUUUCUAGACCCUCUUAGUCCUCAUUUCCCAAAGUCAUCACACAAGUCUACCCUAGCAGCAGGGACUCAAGGGACACCCUUGUCACUGCCUGGAAGCUUAGUAUUGACAGGCUGUAAGAAAAUGGCAAGCAGCACCACAGCUACGUGCUGUGACUAAUGACCAGGGCACCUCUAUAGUCCUCUCGUGCUACCUCCAGUUCCUAGAGGAGCCCUUUGAGCCUGCAGUGAGAAAAAGAGGUCCAAGAGUCACCUGGGAACUGGAGAAGAGUGUUAAUUAAAUGAGCAAGGCCUUACUUUUCCUGUGAAAAUCACUUUAUAUUGUCUGGAGCAUGGGAAUGUAAAGGAGUAUUGGAAAAUGGGGUGGGGCGAAAUCUCUUUGCUUUGUCAUCUUUAAAAAAAUAAAAUACACAUACACACACCCUUCUGGUCUGUAUGAGCUACCUUGUAGUGAUCUUCCCCAGGGACUGGGCCCCGGCCCCCAUAAAAUUUACAGUUAGAGGAGGCCUUGUGCGCCUGGGAGUCUAGCUCUAGCCAACAAAUGCCUUUCUCCCAGACUCCCUUGCGCUUGAGCAAUGUGUGGGAGGUGGUUUAGGUUCCUUUGGGCCCCCAAGGACCCCCGGGAUCCCAGGAGCACCAAGAGCCCUCUGGACUUCGGCCAAGCCUUGUCUCCAUCUCCCCCUUCCACUUUUUGAAGCCACGCCCCCAGCUUCUGCCCCACCCCGCGCCCCGUGGCAGGGCCCCUCUGUCCCGGAAUCCCCAGGGCAAAUGGCUAACAGGUUCAGGCAUCCGCGUUCCUAUGCAAUGGAUUGGAGGAGGGGCAGUUUGAGACUCCUUACUCUCCCUCACCAGCUUCCCUUCUCCCUUUCCGCUGUUCAACAGGCUUUUCCCUCAAACCAGAGGAAGAGCCCCGGGGUGCAUUGAAGGCGCCCACCCAUCCAGAAGGAUCCAACCCGCGCCAUCCGGCUUCUUCCAGUGGGUGCCUGCAGGACUCAGGCACCUUUGUUCCAGUUGGCAUGUUAACUUGCUUUUCCCACCAAAUGAGUCAGUCAUGAGAGGAGCAUCAAUUGACUUGAACAGAUGUGUGUCAAUGUUACUUGGAAAAACUAGAUGCCAAUCACCAGGGCCACAGAAAAAGGUAGUGGUUGUAACUCUAAAGCAUUUACUCGUACACACAGACAAGGACAAAAGUAGAAUCCUAAACAGGGAAACAUUUGGAUGUACUCCAGUGCUGGGAGACUAAAUAAUUGUAUGUUGCUUUUGAUUUCCAUUAACAUGGGCAACUAUCCAAUUAAACAAACACCCAAUAAGGACUCUGCAGUACACAUUAUUUUGCUGAGUAAACUAAAACACCAUAACCUGUCAAUCCAUCGAGGAGAGGAGAUGGGAAUAGCAAGGGACUGGGUUUGUUCCUUGAAUCCUGGGGAAAACAUGAUUCUACAAGACAGAAGUUAAUUGACAGGCAGCUUUCCUGAGAGACUGUGUAGGAUGAAAAAUACAAAUAAGAUUCAAAAAGUAUGUUUGAGGAAGAACAAUGCAUGCGUAUGAUAAGAGAUUGGAGGACUCGAACUAGGGGCUAUACCAAGUUGACAUUAAUUUCUAGAGAUCUGUUUUCCCAUUGGCCAGAAGCAUGUCUCAAGAUCCCAGAAGUUUAUAUGUUCAUCUUUAUUUAGAGUUUAUUGCAUAACUCUUAAACGAAACCCAGUACGUAUACACCAAUCAUGCCAAAUAUGUAUCUCCCUGGCCCAGUCAGUACAGCUUGCCUAUGACCAUCCAUUAGUAUCUGUUCACCAAGCUAGGACACCCUGGCUCUAUCCUAAUAUUUCACCCAUCUGCUUCCCUUCCUGGCUUUACAAUUGAUCUCAGGUUCAAAAGGGCUAGAGCCUUAAGCUGCGUCAUUAGGGAGGAGCCUCUAUAGACUUCCACUCCUGUGCUCCCUCAGUCUUGGAGCACUCCCCUUAAGCGCUUGAGCUCUGUCAUCUGAGCAACUGGUGGGAACUGAAGAGGGGGCUGGGAAUACUGCUUGCUUUGCAGCCUGAAUUUCCUGAGGCAGUGCCCUUGCUGGGCUUUUGCCACCCCUCCCCCACCUCCACUCUGCUGAGGGAAAGCCAGCUUUUUGUCCCCUAGAAACAAAAUCUUUGCAAGCCUCAUCUCAGCCCUUGCUGUUAUUUCCUUUGUUCACCUAUUUUCCCAACUGCUCUCGUAGAUUUGUUGUUUGCAAUAACUUUGUGAUAAAUAAGGCAGAAAAGGUUUCCAGAAACCCGAGGAUUCGGAGGUUGAAGGAUGUAUGGGAGACUUCCUGCUGUGCCUACACCUUAGUGACUACACCAGAAAAUGGAGCCAACUAGUAUGUUUGGUUAGAAAAGGUCUAGGGAAAACUGCCUAGUUCUAAAAUGAGUGAGAGCCUAACUGCUAAUAGAGCCCCAAGAUUGCCCUGAGAAUGAAGUAAUGACUAUAAGCUACCUACCCAUGCACAAUUCAGUGUGUGCAGCCUCAACAGUUUUCAAGCGAAUUCGCUUGAAAUCUUUUCUCCUUUCUAUGCAUUCAACUAAACUAAGGGAGUCAACCAUAGGGAAUUAAUUUAGCGGAGUCCUCAAUAGAACCUUUUUAGCCAUUACAAAUAAACAUUAUAAAAACUGCACAGAAACUUAGAAAAAUGCUUAAGAUAACAGGUUUUUAAAUAUCAAGGCCACAGAAUUACACAGGUUGUACUGGCUGAAAGUAGAAGCAGAAACUGGAGGGACAUUGCAAAACAAGAAGACUCAUUUACCACUAGAAUUACACCCAAAGUUUUGUUUUGGUUUUCUUUCUUUAGUUUUGUUGUUGUUUUGCUUUGUUGUGUUUUGGUUUUUGUUGUUGUUGUUGUUGAAUUGUGAAAUGUAACUCUCUGAAAAGUCUUUAAGGGUCCUGGGAAAUACAGAAACUUCAGGUUCUGCAUGCAAGGAUCUCAGGCGUCUCGGGGAUCAUCAUGUCACGAGAUACACUGUGCCCUUGUGACAGAUUGAUAACUGAAAGGUCUGGGAACCACUCAUCUUCCUAAGACCAGGUGGGGUGAGUAUUACAAGAGAUGACAAGUGGGCCUGAUCAAAGAGGAAAGGGGUUGCCAUGGAGUGGGAGAGGGUAGGAGUUGUAUUUGCAUACAACUUUAAUGAAAGUUUUAUUAAUUUGCAUUUCUAUUCAGUCCACUGAAGCCUAGACAGGGUAUAUGAUUUUACACACACACACACACACACACACACACACACACACACACACACACACACAUCAUGAUACACACAUGUAUAGCAUGAUAUAUAUGUUAAAAUAUUAAAACAAGUUUUUUUUGUUCAAACCAACAAGAAAAACACUAGCUGCACGCAUUAGAAACACAAGACCAACUGUAAUAUGUUGAGUCAUACAAGUGGCUAUAAAGAAAUAUACAAGCCACGGAACCAGAAAGUCAAAUUUUUAAAGAAUGCUCUCUUAUUAUGUUUAUUGCUAUUUAUUUAUUUACUUGCUUAUUUUUGAGACAAGGUCUUAAGUAGUCCAGAUUGGGGUGGAGCUAAAGCUCACAUUGAAUUCCUCAUUCUCCUGAUUCCACUUCCCAAGUUUUGGGAUUAUAGGUGACUAUAUAUUUUUAUUUUUGAGACAAGCUCUAACUAAUUUGCUCACAAACACUUUAAAGUUACUCUGUAGGCCAGGCAGAAUUUGAAUCUGUCGUUCAUUUGCCUCAGCGUCCUACAUCACUGUGAUUACAGGCCUUCCUUUCACUCAGGAAUUUUGAGGAUAAAAUUAGGACUAUCCUGAAUGAUUGACUAACAGUAAAGGGUUGCAAAAACAAAACAGGCUUUUCUAAGACAAUGGAAUAACAUGCUUUAAUUGAAAUUGAUAUUUCUGAAAAUAAUUUUGUGACACAAGGAUAUGUCACAAACACUGAUAAAAUGUUAAGUGAUAAACAUGCAAAAUAUUUUUCUUCUCUGUAUUCUCAUUUUUACAUGCAUAGGAUCAAUAAGGCUAAGAGGAAAGACAUCAAGAUAUUAUAGUUAUCUCUGAGCUGUGCUUUAAUGUUAUUGAGCAAAGAUGCUGGGGAUUGGGGGUGUGGUUGAAUGAUAGAGAAAGGAGAGAGGGAAACCAAGAUGCUGAACUGUUUUUGCGAUGUGUUCCUAAUAUGUAUUAUUAGUAUAUUGGGGACAUUUUGCAUUCAUGGUUCUGCAUCAAUCAUAUGGGCUGAAGACAGUUACCUCCAAGCUGUGGUACCACCAGUGACAAAAGAAAGAUGCUGAACUGUUUUUGCGAUGUGUUCCUAAUAUGUACUACAAUUAUAUUGGGAACAUUUUGCAUAAAUAGUUUUGUAUCGAUAUAUAAGCAAAAGUCUGGAAGAAAGAAGUGGCACAUCUAACCAUAAUUAAUUAUGGUUUUGCUUUUAUAGCAGGAAUAAGAUGCAGAAUUAUUUUUGCAGUAUGUUCCUGAAUACAUAAUAUAAGCGUAUUGGGAACAUUUUGCAUAUGUAAUUUUGUAUCAAUAUAUGGGGGAAGGAAACAUGACAAACUUUAGGAAGAAACAUGACAAAACUUCAACAGCACUUAUGUCUCUGCUAUUGCAGGUGAUGUUUGUUUUUCUCUAUAUUUUUAUUGUUUUUCCAAAUAUUAUAUAAACAGAGUGUUUUUCUUUUAUGGCCAUAAUAAAACUUAUUUUAUUUUAUCUUAGUAUACAAGAGUCUACAUUGUUUUCUUUGGGGGGAGUAGUUGAAACAGGGUCUCUCCCAUUGCAACCCUGGCUGCCCUGGAACUCACUACAUAGACCAGGCUGGACUCCAGAGAUCCGCCUGCCUCCACCUUUGAAAGUCC
Molecule: long non-coding RNA, 7482 nt
Filed under: Cricetulus griseus (Chinese hamster)
Lineage: Eukaryota; Metazoa; Chordata; Mammalia; Rodentia; Cricetidae
Description: lncRNA (ENSCGRG00015039832.1)
Rfam family: mir-322 microRNA precursor family (bases 1696-1778)
Source: RNAcentral